Molecule: transfer RNA, 63 nt
Filed under: Klebsiella quasipneumoniae
Lineage: Bacteria; Pseudomonadati; Pseudomonadota; Gammaproteobacteria; Enterobacterales; Enterobacteriaceae
Description: tRNA-Val
Rfam family: tRNA
About the family: Transfer RNA (tRNA) molecules are approximately 80 nucleotides in length. Their secondary structure includes four short double-helical elements and three loops (D, anti-codon, and T loops).
Source: RNAcentral
GGGUGAUUAGCUCAGCUGGGAGAGCACCUCCCUUACAAGGAGGGGGGUCGAUCAGCUCGACUC